GGCCUACACAUGCAGUCGAGGGGUAGGGUAGCAAUACCUGAGACCGGCGCACGGGUGCGUAACGCGUAUGCAAUCUACCUUUUACAGAGGGAUAGCCCAGAGAAAUUUGGAUUAAUACCUCAUAGCAUAGCAGCUUCGCAUGAAGUCACUAUUAAAGUUCCAACGGUAAAAGAUGAGCAUGCGUCCUAUUAGCUAGAUGGUAAGGUAACGGCUUACCAUGGCUACGAUAGGUAGGGGUCCUGAGAGGGAGAUCCCCCACACUGGUACUGAGACACGGACCAGACUCNUACGGGAGGCAGCAGUGAGGAAUAUUGGACAAUGGGCGCAAGCCUGAUCCAGCCAUGCCGCGUGCAGGAAGACGCAUCUAUGGUGUGUAAACUGCUUUUGUACGGGAAGAAACACUCCUACGUGUAGGAGCUUGACGGUACCGUAAGAAUAAGGAUCGGCUAACUCCGUGCCAGCAGCCGCGGUAAUACGGAGGAUCCAAGCGUUAUCCGGAAUCAUUGGGUUUAAAGGGUCCGUAGGCGGUUUGAUAAGUCAGUGGUGAAAGCCCAUCGCUCAACGAUGGAACGGCCAUUGAUACUGUCAGACUUGAAUUACUAGGAAGUAACUAGAAUAUGUAGUGUAGCGGUGAAAUGCUUAGAUAUUACAUGGAAUACCAUUGCGAAGGCAGGUUACUACUAGUGGAUUGACGCUGAUGGACGAAAGCGUGGGGAGCGAACAGGAUAGAUACCCUGGUAGUCCACGCCGUAAACGAUGGAUACUAGCUGUUCGGGGUAACCUGAGUGCU
This 790-nucleotide ribosomal RNA is filed under the name uncultured Flavobacteriales bacterium. Its description in RNAcentral is "bacterial SSU rRNA". It matches the Rfam family "Bacterial small subunit ribosomal RNA", at positions 45 to 847 of the family's 1533-position model. Lineage: Bacteria; Pseudomonadati; Bacteroidota; Flavobacteriia; Flavobacteriales. The record is from RNAcentral.